This 80-nucleotide non-coding RNA is filed under the name Azotobacter beijerinckii. Lineage: Bacteria; Pseudomonadati; Pseudomonadota; Gammaproteobacteria; Pseudomonadales; Pseudomonadaceae. The record is from RNAcentral.
CUGGGCGUCGAGCAAUCGGCGCUGAAUACCGUGGAGAAGUCAGCAGAAGGCAUAGUAGGUGGGUGGCCCCACCGAAGGCC